AAUAUUGGGCAAUGGAGGAAACUCUGACCCAGCAACGCCGCGUGAGUGAAGAAGGUCUUCGGAUUGUAAAGCUCUGUGGAUAGGGAAGAAAAAAAUGACAGUACCUAUAGAGCAAGCCACGGCAAACUACGUGCCAGCAGCCGCGGUAAUACGUAGGUGGCAAGCGUUGUCCGGAAUGACUGGGCGUAAAGGGUGCGUAGGCGGCUUAUUAAGUUAGAAGUGUAAUACCUGGGCUCAACCUGGGUGCUACUUCUAAGACUGGUGAGCUUGAGUGUGGGAGAGGUAAGUGGAAUUCCUAGUGUAGCGGUGGAAUGCGUAGAUACUAGGAGGAACACCAGCGGCGAAGGCGGCUUACUGGACCAUAACUGACGCUGAGGCACGAAAGCGUGGGGAGCAAACAGG
This 402-nucleotide ribosomal RNA is filed under the name uncultured bacterium. RNAcentral describes it as "partial 16S ribosomal RNA". It matches the Rfam family "Bacterial small subunit ribosomal RNA", at positions 360 to 776 of the family's 1533-position model. The record is from RNAcentral.